CUAAGCAACGAAAGAAGCUCUGAAGCGCCCACGCGAUUUGAAGAGGAGAAAAGCGGCGCGGUCACGUUUUCCGCGUGGUUUCAGACGCGACAUGUAAAGUAAAUGUAAAGCAACUGUGCGCGUAUGUGUUGGCCAUUUCGGUGGUUGCUCGAGCCGAGCCCCGGAGGACCCAGGGGAUCAGGGCAUAUCUGCGUGUUUAUUGUAGCACUUCCACUCAUAAAACAACAAGUGCGGGGCUGUUUACACUUGGUAUUAAGAUGUGUUUUCAUCGAUCGGAUCACAGGUGGACGAGAGAGACACAUGACGUUUACACCUGGUAUUUAAAUCCGUCUCUUUUGUCCACUUUCGACCGCUUCUGUGCUGAAUAAUAUGAGGGGGUGGUCUGUGAGACGGUGGGCGAGUCUCUCUGCUGUCAUUCAAACCCGAGCGGGAGUAAUUAUGAGUUUAUAUGGACGCAAACUAAUAUAAUGUCGGAGUGCACUGCUUGUUUAGCAAGUAAACAUGCUGCACAGUGUUUUGUACAUGAGUAUGUAAGAGCUUUCUUUGAAUUUUCAGCGCAAUUGAUGAAAUAGGAUCGCGCAACUUUCAGACGCUUUCAAAACGAAACUACGGAGAUCAGCCGCUUAGUUUUAUCAAUGAAAGGCUAAAAAUAGCGCUGUUCACCGAAUGUUCACGCCAGAAGUCAAAAAAAAGACGUGAAACUUGUGUUUAAUACCUCAGAUUAGAUAAAUGGGCGGAGAGAAGGCGGUCGCGUGUGGCUGUUCGAACGCAUUCAACCACAUGUGCGUUCCGCAGCUCCAAAGCGAUCCGAUCGAAAGUGGUUUCGACCACCUCUGGAUGUGGUUGAAAGUGGUCGAAAGUGGACGAGCUCAAAACGUUUUGAACACCGUUUACACCUGGCAUUAACGUCGUCCACUUGUGAUCCGAUCGACGAAAACACAUGUUAAUGCCAAGUGUAAACAGUCUCUGAGAAACCUUUUUGGGGUUAUAAUGUUUCCACCUGCGCUGAAAACGCGUUCUGAUGGUGUACUGGUAGCGCAGAUUGAUACUUUUUCGCAACUAUAAUUGAGAGAGAACGGCCGUUUCUCAACCGAAGGCUUCAGUCUCCGGAGGUCGCAUAUGCAGGCUGUAUGUCAUCAAGCCUGGUUUAUUAUUUUCAUUGCAAGUCAUAAGCAUAUUACAACAAUGUAUGAUCAACAAAGAAUAAUAGUCAAGCUUUCAAAAAUGAUAUUGCUAUGAAAAAUUACUGUACAUUUGAAUCUAUUUUUCUUUGUCUUUUAGGUGUUGGCAACAGACGUUGAAAAAAGACUACAGUUUCCUGACUUAAUUGUCUAAGGUGAAUCAGCGUUUGGAUGCUGAGCAUCGGGUGGUUGUGCCUCCACAUCCCAACUUCGUGGCUGGAAUGGCAGCUUUGUUUUCUAUCUACUACAACUUCAAUCUGGUGUACCAGGAGGAGCAAGUGCACACUGGAGAUCAUUCAAAGAUGCUUCAUUGGACUGAACCCAUCCAGUGGGACCAAGACAGCAAAGGUGGUUAGCCAAAAAUAGAGGGAAGGUACCGGAGAAAAAGAAGAACCGCAUUAACCCUCACGUCUCCUCUCUACUUAAGCGGCUGAUAGAUUUUGAAUGGCUUCAAUUGUAAGUCUCAAGCGACUUCCUCAUAAUAUGAAUGGACAAUGUUCUAAAUGUGUUCAGAAUUUCACUGAAUGUUAAGAAAAUGAAUAGAAUAUGCUGUUAAGAAAAAGACCUUCUGAAAUUGCACAGUAUUGUAACACUGUAUUUCGUUUUA
Non-coding RNA from Misgurnus anguillicaudatus (oriental weatherfish), 1788 nucleotides. The record is from RefSeq and is a predicted model, not a curated record. NCBI's taxonomy places the organism in Eukaryota, Metazoa, Chordata, Actinopteri, Cypriniformes, Cobitidae.